This 467-nucleotide ribosomal RNA is filed under the name uncultured bacterium. RNAcentral describes it as "partial 16S ribosomal RNA". It matches the Rfam family "Bacterial small subunit ribosomal RNA", at positions 329 to 793 of the family's 1533-position model. The record is from RNAcentral.
GUCCAGACUCCUACGGGAGGCAGCAGUGAGGAAUAUUGGUCAAUGGGCGAGAGCCUGAACCAGCCAAGUCGCGUGAAGGAUGAAGGAUCUAUGGUUUGUAAACUUCUUUUAUAUGGGAAUAAAGUGAGGAACGUGUUCCUUUUUGUAUGUACCAUAUGAAUAAGCAUCGGCUAACUCCGUGCCAGCAGCCGCGGUAAUACGGAGGAUGCGAGCGUUAUCCGGAUUUAUUGGGUUUAAAGGGUGCGUAGGUGGUUAAUUAAGUCAGCGGUGAAAGUUUGUGGCUCAACCAUAAAAUUGCCGUUGAAACUGGUUGACUUGAGUAUAUUUGAGGUAGGCGGAAUGCGUGGUGUAGCGGUGAAAUGCAUAGAUAUCAGGAGGAACACCGGUGGCGAAGGCGGCCUGCUGGACUGCAACUGACGUUGAGGCCCGAAAGCGUGGGGAGCAAACAGGAUUAGAUACCCGAGUAU